CGCCAACCUCACGUAGAGAUCUUGUCCUCCAUCGACGUAGCGCAGGUCGACGAGGUCGUCGGCCCAGAUGAUGCAUCCGCUCCCGGCGCCGCCGCCGCCGCCGCCUUCGAUGUCGGCGGGGGCGCGACGCACGAGCAGUUGGCGAGGCACCGCGCCCUGCACUCCUCCACCGUGACGCGCUUGUCCACCGUCGCGUUAUGCGCGUCGGGGAGCUUCACGCCGCGCACCGCCAGGAAGCCGUCCGUGGCGCAGCCCAGCGCCGCGUCUCGCCGGCACCCGGCGGAGGUGUCCCUCAUCUUCUUCCACGGCGACGGCGACGCCGGGGUGAAGCCCUCCACGCAGCUGCAGAACGACGUCGACGCCGCGCCUGCGUCGCACAGGCCGAACGCCCCGCACUUGCCGUCCCUCGGCCCCUGGAAGAAGUUCUUCCAUGCCCGGCUGCUCGGCUCCCACACCAGCCGCUGGACCUCGCCGACGCCCGUCACCACGAGGCGGGAGAACGGCGCGCCGGCGUUGGCGGAGUAG
Molecule: long non-coding RNA, 525 nt
Filed under: Oryza sativa Indica Group (long-grained rice)
Lineage: Eukaryota; Viridiplantae; Streptophyta; Magnoliopsida; Poales; Poaceae
Description: lncRNA OsLima_04g0027460
Source: RNAcentral